This 301-nucleotide ribosomal RNA is filed under the name uncultured bacterium. Its description in RNAcentral is "partial 16S ribosomal RNA". It matches the Rfam family "Bacterial small subunit ribosomal RNA", at positions 509 to 807 of the family's 1533-position model. The record is from RNAcentral.
CAGCAGCCGCGGUAAUACGAAGGGGGCUAGCGUUGUUCGGAUUAACUGGGCGUAAAGGGCGCGUAGGCGGGUUUUUAAGUCAGAGGUGAAAUCCCAAGGCUCAACCUUGGAACUGCCUUUGAUACUGGAAGUCUUGAGUCCGGGAGAGGUGAGUGGAACUGCGAGUGUAGAGGUGGAAUUCGUAGAUAUUCGCAAGAACACCAGUGGCGAAGGCGGCUCACUGGCCCGGUACUGACGCUGAGGCGCGAAAGCGUGGGGAGCAAACAGGAUUAGAUACCCCCGUAGUCCCUGUCUCUUAUAC